UACGUAGGGGGCGAGCGUUGUCCGGAAUGACUGGGCGUAAAGGGUACGUAGGCGGCCGUGUAAGUCAGGUGUGAAAGGCUAGGGCUCAACCCUAGUGAGCACUUGAAACUGCAUGGCUUGAGUCGAGGAGAGGAAAGUGGAAUUCCUGGUGUAGCGGUGAAAUGCGUAGAUAUCAGGAGGAAUACCAGUGGCGAAGGCGACUUUCUGGCCUUAGACUGACGCUGAGGUACGAAAGCGUGGGGAGCAAACAGG
Molecule: ribosomal RNA, 252 nt
Filed under: uncultured bacterium
Lineage: Bacteria
Description: partial 16S ribosomal RNA
Rfam family: Bacterial small subunit ribosomal RNA
Source: RNAcentral